GAUGAACGCUGGCGGCGUGCCUAAUACAUUCAAGUCGAGCGAACAGAUGAGGAGCUUGCUCCUCUGACGUUAGCGGCGGACGGGUGAGUAACACGUGGAUAACCUACCUAUAAGACUGGGAUAACUUCGGGAAACCGGAGCUAAUACCGGAUAAUAUAUUGAACCGCAUGGUUCAAUAGUGAAAGACGGUUUUGCUGUCACUUAUAGAUGGAUCCGCGCCGCAUUAGCUAGUUGGUAAGGUAACGGCUUACCAAGGCAACGAUGCGUAGCCGACCUGAGAGGGUGAUCGGCCACACUGGAACUGAGACACGGUCCAGACUCCUACGGGAGGCAGCAGUAGGGAAUCUGCCGCAAUGGGCGAAAGCCUGACGGAGCAACGCCGCGUGAGUGAUGAAGGUCUGCGGAUCGUAAAACUCUGUUAUUAGGGAAGAACAAAUGUGUAAGUAACUAUGCACGUCUUGACGGUACCUAAUCAGAAAGCCACGGCUAACUACGG
Molecule: ribosomal RNA, 496 nt
Filed under: uncultured bacterium
Lineage: Bacteria
Description: partial 16S ribosomal RNA
Rfam family: Bacterial small subunit ribosomal RNA
Source: RNAcentral